GUUAGAAUAGUAUUUUCUGAAGAAAGUACGGAUAAAAAAAAAUUAUUAUUUUAUUGAAAAAUGUGUAAUUGAUAACAAGAGAGAGCUCCAGAAGCAUCACUAUUCUCUUUCUUAUGUUGUCCUCCAACACUAUUGACGACUCUAGACCUGAAAUAAGUUCCAUCGGGAGAGUGGAAAAUUCAGUAAUGAAUUAUUAAUUACAAAAAGAAAGAGUCAAUAUAUAGCUUAACACAAUUUAGACAAGCCGUGAAAUAUGAUUAUCAACAUUGUUACAGACUAACUAGAAGCCAAUUUUGCAAAAUUUCCAUGUAAACAGGCUCAAGAAAGCCAAGAAAUAUAGAAACUGCUCCAAGAUUAGUCAUCCUAGUCAUGUGUGCAGGAACCAUCUUGUGUCACCGGAGAGUUGACGAGUCCAGGUAUUGGAUAGAUUGGUUGAAUCAUCUCUCAAAGAAUUGGCGAGGCCCUUCGUUGCAGUAGCGUAAUUGGCGGAAAUAGAAAGUCGACUGCAAGUCACUCAAGACAUCUGGGUUAAAUAUGUGACAACAUUAAGGAUCAUCGUCCUAUCGAGAAGUGUAAAUUCCUAUAUUGGUGCUAGCAAACCAAAAGAACCCAAAAAUUUUACUGAAGAAACAGAAGAUGUUUGAUGUCUAAGGAUCACCGAUGCAGAACCACCGCCAGAAUUCCCCUUAACGGCCAAAUUCCCGCCCAUGGAAAUAGCAUUGGGAUUGGAUAUUUUAGAAUGAACUUCACUGACCAUAGCCAUCCUGACAUUCUUACAAAAAAGCAUUAAGAAGAAAAAAUUAAGCACAAGAUAUCAAAGUAUGCCAAAUUGUUACGACCAAAAUAGUAAAUUAUGAAUAAAAUAAUGUUCAAAUCCUGGACCGGUUGUGUUCCUCAACAACCACACUAAACGUGGGACGCCGUUUCAAUAAUUGCUGUUAGUUUUAAAGAAAUAUUUACAUGAUAAUAAAUUUCAAAGGCAAGUGGAACUUGUUGAAUCUCAAAAUAUAAUCCGUGAAACUUGCCAGCUAAUAGCAAAGCAUAAAGCAAUACGUGACGGAAC
This 1063-nucleotide long non-coding RNA is filed under the name Olea europaea subsp. europaea. Lineage: Eukaryota; Viridiplantae; Streptophyta; Magnoliopsida; Lamiales; Oleaceae. The record is from RNAcentral.